RNAcentral lists this ribosomal RNA (301 nucleotides) under uncultured bacterium. RNAcentral describes it as "partial 16S ribosomal RNA". It matches the Rfam family "Bacterial small subunit ribosomal RNA", at positions 509 to 809 of the family's 1533-position model. The record is from RNAcentral.
CAGUCGCCGCGGUAAUACGUAGGUGGCAAGCGUUGUCCGGAAUUAUUGGGCGUAAAGGGCUCGCAGGCGGUUUCUUAAGUCUGAUGUGAAAGCCCCCGGCUCAACCGGGGAGGGUCAUUGGAAACUGGGAAACUUGAGCGCAGAAGAGGAGAGUGGAAUUCCACGUGUAGCGGUGAAAUGCGUAGAGAUGUGGAGGAACACCAGUGGCGAAGGCGACUCUCUGGUCUGUAACUGACGCUGAGGAGCGAAAGCGUGGGGAGCGAACAGGAUUAGAUACCCCCGUAGUCCCUGUCUCUUAUAA